RNAcentral lists this ribosomal RNA (440 nucleotides) under uncultured bacterium. RNAcentral describes it as "partial 16S ribosomal RNA". It matches the Rfam family "Bacterial small subunit ribosomal RNA", at positions 338 to 795 of the family's 1533-position model. The record is from RNAcentral.
CCUACGGGUGGCAGCAGUGGGGAAUAUUGCACAAUGGGGGAAACCCUGAUGCAGCGACGCCGCGUGAGUGAAGAAGUAUUUCGGUAUGUAAAGCUCUGUCAGCAGGGAAGAAAAUGACGGUACCUGACCACGAAGCCCCGGCUAACUACGUGCCAGCAGCCGCGGUAAUACGUAGGGGGCAAGCGUUAUCCGGAUUUACUGGGUGUAAAGGGAGCGUAGACGGCAGGGCAAGUCUGGAGUGAAAGUCGGGGGCCCAACCCCCGGACUGCUCUGGAAACUGCCAGGCUGGAGUGCAGGAGAGGUAAGUGGAAUGCCUGGUGUAGCGGUGAAAUGCGUAGAUAUUAGGAGGAACACCAGUGGCGAAGGCGGCUUACUGGACUGUAACUGACGUUGAGGCUCGAAAGCGUGGGGAGCAAACAGGAUUAGAUACCCCAGUAGUC